RNAcentral lists this ribosomal RNA (547 nucleotides) under uncultured Rhizophagus. Its description in RNAcentral is "SSU rRNA". It matches the Rfam family "Eukaryotic small subunit ribosomal RNA", at positions 550 to 1098 of the family's 1831-position model. The record is from RNAcentral. Lineage: Eukaryota; Fungi; Glomeromycota; Glomeromycetes; Glomerales; Glomeraceae.
GGAGGGCAAGUCUGGUGCCAGCAGCCGCGGUAAUUCCAGCUCCAAUAGCGUAUAUUAAAGUUGUUGCAGUUAAAAAGCUCGUAGUUGAAUUUCGGGGUUAGUAGGUUGGUCAUGCCUCUGGUAUGUACUGGUCUCACUGAUUCCUCCUUCCUGAUGAACCGUAAUGCCAUUAAUUUGGUGUUGCGGGGAAUUUGGACUGUUACUUUGAAAAAAUUAGAGUGUUUAAAGCAGGCUAACGCUUGAAUACAUUAGCAUGGAAUAAUGAAAUAGGACGUUCGAUCCUAUUUUGUUGGUUUCUAGGAUUGACGUAAUGAUUAAUAGGGAUAGUUGGGGGCAUUAGUAUUCAAUUGUCAGAGGUGAAAUUCUUGGAUUUAUUGAAGACUAACUACUGCGAAAGCAUUUGCCAAGGAUGUUUUCAUUAAUCAAGAACGAAAGUUAGGGGAUCGAAGACGAUCAGAUACCGUCGUAGUCUUAACCAUAAACUAUGCCGACUAGGGAUCGGAUGAUGUUAAUUUUUUAAUGACUCAUUCGGCGCCUUACGGGAAAC